RNAcentral lists this ribosomal RNA (934 nucleotides) under uncultured Acidobacteriota bacterium. Its description in RNAcentral is "bacterial SSU rRNA". It matches the Rfam family "Bacterial small subunit ribosomal RNA", at positions 1 to 918 of the family's 1533-position model. The record is from RNAcentral. Lineage: Bacteria; Pseudomonadati; Acidobacteriota.
UAGAGUUUGAUCCUGGCUCAGAAUCAACGCBGGCGGCGUGCCUAACMCAUGCAAGUCGAACGCGAAAGCCCYUUCGGGGGCAAGUAGAGUGGCGUCCGGGUGAGUAACACGUGGGUAAUCUACCUCCGGGUGGGGAAUAACUCGCCGAAAGGCGGGCUAAUACCGCAUAAUGCAGCGGCACCGAAUGGUGAUUAGUUGUUAAAGCGGGGGACCUUAGGGCCUCGCGUCUGGAGAGGAGCCUGCGGCAGAUUAGCUUGUUGGUAGGGUAAUGGCCUACCAAGGCUGCGAUCUGUAGCUGGUCUGAGAGGACGGCCAGCCACACUGGCACUGACACACGGGCCAGACUCCUACGGGAGGCAGCAGUGGGGAAUUUUGGGCAAUGGGCGAAAGCCUGACCCAGCAACGCCGCGUGAAGGAGGAAAUCCUUCGGGAUGUAAACUUCACAAGCAAGGGAAGAGCGCGCAGGGUCGAAUAAACUCUGCGUCCGACGGUACCUUGCGUAAGCCACGGCUAACUACGUGCCAGCAGCCGCGGUAAUACGUAGGUGGCAAGCGUUGUUCGGAAUUACUGGGCGUAAAGGGCGCGUAGGCGGUUUGCUAAGUCAGUCGUGAAAGCCCGGGGCUCAACCCCGGAGGGUCGACUGAUACUGGCAGACUGGAGUACGGAAGAGGUAGCUGGAAUUCCCGGUGUAGCGGUGAAAUGCGUAGAUAUCGGGAGGAACACCUGAGGCGAAGGCGGGCUACUGGGCCGAUACUGACGCUGAUGCGCGAAAGCCAGGGGAGCGAACGGGAUUAGAUACCCCGGUAGUCCUGGCCCUAAACGAUGGACACUUGGUGUGUCGGGUUUUCAAGUCCCGGCGUGCCGGAGCUAACGCGUUAAGUGUCCCGCCUGGGGAGUACGGUCGCAAGGCUGAAACUCAAAUGAAUUGACGGGG